UACGAGAGGCCCAACCGUUAUUCGGAUUUACUGGGCUUAAAGAGUUCGUAGGCGGUCCGUCAAGUGAGGUGUGAAAGCCCUCGGCUCAACCGAGGAAUUGCGCUUCAAACUGUCGGGCUCGAGGGAGAUAGAGGUGAGCGGAACUGAUGGUGGAGCGGUGAAAUGCGUUGAUAUCAUCAGGAACACCAGAGGCGAAGGCGGCUCACUGGGUCUCUUCUGACGCUGAGGAACGAAAGCUAGGGGAGCAAACGGG
This 253-nucleotide ribosomal RNA is filed under the name uncultured bacterium. RNAcentral's name for it is "partial 16S ribosomal RNA". It matches the Rfam family "Bacterial small subunit ribosomal RNA", at positions 524 to 776 of the family's 1533-position model. The record is from RNAcentral.